GUGCUUCAGGGAUGAACAAGUCCCUGAUAUUAGAACUCACAUCCAUCCAUCCACUUUGUCAGUGGCCUACUUUGGUUGCCUUCUGAUCAUUUUCGGAUGGUACAUUC
Small nucleolar RNA from Malania oleifera, 107 nucleotides. RefSeq annotates it as small nucleolar RNA snoR99. The record is from RefSeq and is a predicted model, not a curated record. NCBI's taxonomy places the organism in Eukaryota, Viridiplantae, Streptophyta, Magnoliopsida, Santalales, Ximeniaceae. The transcript has a single exon.